Molecule: long non-coding RNA, 649 nt
Organism: Bufo bufo (common toad)
Lineage: Eukaryota; Metazoa; Chordata; Amphibia; Anura; Bufonidae
Exons: 5
Source: RefSeq, a predicted model, not a curated record
GUCAGGAAGUGGGCUGUUGCUGGAACAACAAUGACUGGCUUGAUGUCAGUGGAAACUUAAACUUUUUUUCUUUGUGUCUUCAUACCAUUCUAUUCAGUUUACCUUCGCCUGACACAUCCUGUAGAUCUUCUAUCUGACUAUAAAUUCAGCUGUUCGUCUGAAAUCAGUCACUGGCCUUCUUGCCCUCGUGAAAGAUUGCAGUCAUAAUGGGAAAUUCAAACCAAGGGUGUUGCAUAGGUCCCCACCACCAUCCUCGACAUCCCCACCAUCACCAUCACCAUCAGCCCCACCCAGGACAUCAUCCACCUCAUCACAUAGGUCCACACAUACACCAUGGUCAUGCUGGACACAUUGGACCAAAUAUACACCACGGUCUACAUGGACACCAUGGAAUUCAUGGUCAUCAUGGCCAUCAUGGUCAUCAUGGCCAUCAUGGUCAUCAUGGCCAUCAUGGCAAACACUAAGGCUGCCAGGGCAGGCACUUGAAGUGAGAGGAAAAUUUUCAUGUUGACGACAUGCAAGAAGAUUGUUAGACAGUAUACAUACAUUUACAGUAUAUCUAUAUGUAAAAAAAAAUGUAAAUUUAUUAAUAAUCUAUUGAUAUAUUGAUUGUUUUAUUGCCACAACUACAUUCACUAAAUAAAUGACU